UACGGGGGGGGCAAGCGUUGUUCGGAAUUACUGGGCGUAAAGGGUUUGUAGGUGGCUCGCUAAGUCAGACGUGAAAUCCCUCAGCUUAACUGGGGAACUGCGUCUGAGACUGGCAAGCUUGAGUGCAGGAGAGGAACGCGGAAUUCCAGGUGUAGCGGUGAAAUGCGUAGAUAUCAGGAGGAACACCGGUGGCGAAGGCGGGUCUCUGGGCCGAUACUGACGCUGAGGAGCGAAAGCGUGGGGAGCGAACAGG
Molecule: ribosomal RNA, 253 nt
Filed under: uncultured bacterium
Lineage: Bacteria
Description: partial 16S ribosomal RNA
Rfam family: Bacterial small subunit ribosomal RNA
Source: RNAcentral